CUCUGGUUUGAGAGAAUAAUCAGGGCAAAGGAG
Molecule: non-coding RNA, 33 nt
Filed under: Sporolactobacillus laevolacticus DSM 442
Lineage: Bacteria; Bacillati; Bacillota; Bacilli; Caryophanales; Sporolactobacillaceae
Source: RNAcentral